This 636-nucleotide ribosomal RNA is filed under the name uncultured Gammaproteobacteria bacterium. Its description in RNAcentral is "bacterial SSU rRNA". It matches the Rfam family "Bacterial small subunit ribosomal RNA", at positions 8 to 635 of the family's 1533-position model. Lineage: Bacteria; Pseudomonadati; Pseudomonadota; Gammaproteobacteria. The record is from RNAcentral.
AGAGUUUGAUCCUGGCUCAGAUUGAACGCUGGCGGCAGGCCUAACACAUGCAAGUCGAGCGGAAACGAUCCUAGCUUGCUAGGAGGCGUCGAGCGGCGGACGGGUGAGUAAUGCAUAGGAAUCUGCCCGGUAGUGGGGGAUAACCUGGGGAAACCCAGGCUAAUACCGCAUACGCCCUACGGGGGAAAGCAGGGGAUCUUCGGACCUUGCGCUAUCGGAUGAGCCUAUGUCGGAUUAGCUAGUUGGUGAGGUAACGGCUCACCAAGGCUGCGAUCCGUAGCUGGUCUGAGAGGAUGAUCAGCCACAUCGGGACUGAGACACGGCCCGAACUCCUACGGGAGGCAGCAGUGGGGAAUAUUGGACAAUGGGCGAAAGCCUGAUCCAGCCAUGCCGCGUGUGUGAAGAAGGCCUUCGGGUUGUAAAGCACUUUCAGUGAGGAAGAAAGCCUUGAGGUUAAUACCCUCGAGGGAGGACAUCACUCACAGAAGAAGCACCGGCUAACUCCGUGCCAGCAGCCGCGGUAAUACGGAGGGUGCGAGCGUUAAUCGGAAUUACUGGGCGUAAAGCGCGCGUAGGCGGCUUGAUAAGCCGGUUGUGAAAGCCCCGGGCUCAACCUGGGAACGGCAUCCGGAACUG